UUAUUGAUUGUAAACUGUUGCCUUCUGUGCUGGCUCCUGCAAGUGCACGUCGGUGGCUUUCAUUCCAAUACCCCUGUGAACCUUUGGCCUCUUGCUAGCUUCGGCGGGCAGAGGAUUUUACAUACAAACUCGAAUGUAAUGAAACUCUUGUUGUGCACAAGCACUACUAUACAACUUUCAACAACGGAUCUCUUGGCUCUCGCAUCGAUGAAGAACGCAGCGAAAUGCGAUAAGUAAUGUGAAUUGCAGAAUUCAGUGAAUCAUCGAAUCUUUGAACGCACCUUGCACCCUUUGGUAUUCCGAAGGGUAUGCUCGUUUGAGUGUCAUUGUAUUCUCACACUUCCGAUCUUAGGGUUGGGAGCGGUGGACUUGGGUUUGCUGCUUCACCGUGGCUCACCUCAAAUAUGUUAGUGCAGCUCUUGGUUGGACAUAGUACGGCGUGAUAAGUGUUCUUCGCCGGUGCCUCGCAAAGAGGGUGGCCGAUCGGGAUGUUGUGCUCCAAACCGUCUUCGGACAAUCUCUGACGACUUGACCUCAAAUCGAGUAAGACUACCCGCUGAACUUAAGCAUAUCAAU
Molecule: ribosomal RNA, 576 nt
Filed under: uncultured Sebacina
Lineage: Eukaryota; Fungi; Basidiomycota; Agaricomycetes; Sebacinales; Sebacinaceae
Description: eukaryotic LSU rRNA
Rfam family: 5.8S ribosomal RNA (bases 173-326)
Source: RNAcentral